AGCAGCCGCGGUAAUUCCAGCUCCAAUAGCGUAUAUUAAAGUUGUUGCAGUUAAAAGCUCGUAGUUGAAUUUCGGGAUCAAUAUAACGGUCAUGCCGUUGGUAUGCACUGUUAUAAUUGAUUUCUCACCUUCUAAAGAACCGUAAUGCCAUUAAUUUGGUGUCACGGGGAAUUAGGACUGUUACCUUGAAAAAAUUAGAGUGUUUAAAGCAGGCUCACGCUUGAAUACAUUAGCAUGGAAUAAUGAAAUAGGACAUCCGAUUCUAUUUUGUUGGUUUCUAGGAUCGAUGUAAUGAUUAAUAGGGAUAGUUGGGGGCAUUAGUAUUCAAUUGUCAGAGGUGAAAUUCUUGGAUUUAUUGAGGACUAACUACUGCGAAAGCAUUUGCCAAGGAUGUUUUCAUUAAUCAAGAACGAAAGUUGGGGCUCGAAGACGAUCAGAUACCGUCCUAGUCUCAACCAUAAACCGAUGCCGACCAGGGAUCAGUGGAUGUUGCUUUUAGGACUUCC
This 506-nucleotide ribosomal RNA is filed under the name uncultured Glomus. Its description in RNAcentral is "SSU rRNA". It matches the Rfam family "Eukaryotic small subunit ribosomal RNA", at positions 569 to 1079 of the family's 1831-position model. Lineage: Eukaryota; Fungi; Glomeromycota; Glomeromycetes; Glomerales; Glomeraceae. The record is from RNAcentral.